UUAUGGCUCAGGACGAACGCUGGCGGCGUGCCUAACACAUGCAAGUCGAGCGAGGAGAUCCUUCGGGAUGAUCCUAGCGGCGGACGGGUGAGUAACACGUGGGCAACCUGCCUCAUAGAGAGGAAUAGCCUUCCGAAAGGGAGAUUAAUACCUCAUAACAUUGCAGUUUCGCAUGAAACAGCAAUUAAAGGAGCAAUCCGCUAUGAGAUGGGCCCGCGGCGCAUUAGCUAGUUGGUGAGGUAACGGCUCACCAAGGCGACGAUGCGUAGCCGACCCGAGAGGGUGAUCGGCCACAUUGGGACUGAGACACGGCCCAGACUCCUACGGGAGGCAGCAGUGGGGAAUAUUGCACAAUGGGGGAAACCCUGAUGCCAGCAACGCCGCGUGAGUGAUGACGGCCUUCGGGUUGUAAAGCUCUGUCUUCAGGGACGAUAAUGACGGUACCUGAGGAGGAAGCCACGGCUAACUACGUGCCAGCCGCCGC
Molecule: ribosomal RNA, 484 nt
Filed under: uncultured bacterium
Lineage: Bacteria
Description: bacterial SSU rRNA
Rfam family: Bacterial small subunit ribosomal RNA
Source: RNAcentral